Molecule: ribosomal RNA, 110 nt
Filed under: Ailuropoda melanoleuca (giant panda)
Lineage: Eukaryota; Metazoa; Chordata; Mammalia; Carnivora; Ursidae
Description: similar to 28S ribosomal RNA
Source: RNAcentral
GAUCCUGGAGAAGCCAGCAGGAACCCCAGGGAGAGUUCCCUUUUCUUCAUGCAAGACAGGGUGCCCUGGAAUGGGUUCGACCCCCAGAGAGGGGCUAGUGCCUUGGAAAG